UCUUAUAUAAUCAUCAACAACAAUAACCAAAAGGACAAGUGAAGAUAAAAUGAAAGGAACAACCGACCAUCAUUGUAAACAUUCUAUGCCAACAAUUAUUUUAAGGGAAGAAGGGGCAUGUUGAGGUUGAACUUGAAAACCAAACUGAUUACAGCACUUAUGAGCUUAGUGUGAGGUAUCUGUAACAGAAAUAGGAACCAGCAACCAGGAGUGGGGCAGCGAACUCGACGACUGCCGCAUAUUUAGGCGUCAGGUCAUCCUUGAUCACGAAUGCACUCAUCUCUUUCUUUUUGGGCUCCUCGGUUGAACCAAC
Molecule: long non-coding RNA, 313 nt
Filed under: Gossypium barbadense (sea-island cotton)
Lineage: Eukaryota; Viridiplantae; Streptophyta; Magnoliopsida; Malvales; Malvaceae
Description: long non-coding RNA (GBAR_LNC001304)
Source: RNAcentral